This 443-nucleotide ribosomal RNA is filed under the name Contarinia lycii. RNAcentral's name for it is "partial large subunit ribosomal RNA". It matches the Rfam family "Eukaryotic large subunit ribosomal RNA", at positions 329 to 647 of the family's 3401-position model. Lineage: Eukaryota; Metazoa; Arthropoda; Insecta; Diptera; Cecidomyiidae. The record is from RNAcentral.
CGAAACCGAUAGCGAACAAGUACCGUGAGGGAAAGUUGAAAAGUACUCUGAAUAGAGAGUUAAAUAGUACGUGAAACCGCUUAGGGGUUAAGCCCGAUGAACCCGAAUAUCUGAUGUGAGAAAUUCAAUAUUGUUCAUUUUUAAUGGAUAGUAUGCACUUUUCUCAUAGUAAGACAUUGUAAUCCAUUGAUGCUAUAUCUCUUUCAUUUAUUGGAUGAGAUGAUUUAACAUACGGACAAGAUGUAUAUGAUUAUUCUAUCAGUGAUGUGUUUACAUGUCAUAUGAAUAAGAUCGUUUUGUACCUGUUUAAAUAGUCGAUGGAUUUUAACUGAAUCAUGCUUGCAAUUUAUUUUGCGUUUCGUGUUAUCGGCCAUUUUGGUUGGUAAUAGCAGAAAUGGCAUGCAUUCGAUUAACAAUGCGAUAGAUUUGGGAUACUUUCAGGA